This 67-nucleotide transfer RNA is filed under the name Marmota monax (woodchuck). RNAcentral describes it as "tRNA.Ala". It matches the Rfam family "tRNA". From Rfam's summary of the family: Transfer RNA (tRNA) molecules are approximately 80 nucleotides in length. Their secondary structure includes four short double-helical elements and three loops (D, anti-codon, and T loops). The record is from RNAcentral. Lineage: Eukaryota; Metazoa; Chordata; Mammalia; Rodentia; Sciuridae.
GGUUGUAGCUCAGUGGUAGAGCGCUUGUCUUGCAUAUACAAGGCCCUGGGUUCGAUCCUCAGCACCA